Molecule: ribosomal RNA, 253 nt
Filed under: uncultured bacterium
Lineage: Bacteria
Description: partial 16S ribosomal RNA
Rfam family: Bacterial small subunit ribosomal RNA
Source: RNAcentral
UACGUAGGGUGCAAGCGUUGUCCGGAAUUAUUGGGCGUAAAGAGCUCGUAGGCGGUCUGUCGCGUCGGCUGUGAAAUCCCGAGGCUCAACCUCGGGCCUGCAGUGGGUACGGGCAGACUAGAGUGCGGUAGGGGAGAUUGGAAUUCCUGGUGUAGCGGUGGAAUGCGCAGAUAUCAGGAGGAACACCGAUGGCGAAGGCAGAUCUCUGGGCCGUAACUGACGCUGAGGAGCGAAAGCGUGGGGAGCGAACAGG